GACGAACGCUGGCGGCGUGCUUAACACAUGCAAGUCGAACGGAAAGGCCCUGCUUUUGUGGGGUGCUCGAGUGGCGAACGGGUGAGUAACACGUGAGUAACCUGCCCUUGACUUUGGGAUAACUUCAGGAAACUGGGGCUAAUACCGGAUAGGAGCUCCUGCUGCAUGGUGGGGGUUGGAAAGUUUCGGCGGUUGGGGAUGGACUCGCGGCUUAUCAGCUUGUUGGUGGGGUAGUGGCUUACCAAGGCUUUGACGGGUAGCCGGCCUGAGAGGGUGACCGGCGACAAUGGGACUGAGAGACGGCCCAGACUCCUACAGUAGGCAACAGUGGGGAAUAUUGCACAAUGGGCGGAAGCCUGAGGCAGCAACGCCGCGUUCGGGAUGACGGCCUGCGGGUUGUGAACCGCUUUCGCCUGUGACGAAGCGUGAGUGACGGUAAUGGGUAAAGAAGCACCGGCUAACUACGUG
RNAcentral lists this ribosomal RNA (468 nucleotides) under uncultured bacterium. RNAcentral's name for it is "partial 16S ribosomal RNA". It matches the Rfam family "Bacterial small subunit ribosomal RNA", at positions 28 to 507 of the family's 1533-position model. The record is from RNAcentral.